CUACGGGCCGCUGCAGUGGGGAAUAUUGGACAAUGGGGGAAACCCUGAUCCAGCAAUGCCGCGUGUGUGAAGAAGGCCUGCGGGUUGUAAAGCACUUUCGGUUGGGAGGACUGCUUCUAGCACUAAUAUUGUUGGAAGUUGACGUUACCUUCAGAAGAAGCACCGGCUAACUCCGUGCCAGCAGCCGCGGUAAUACGGAGGGUGCGAGCGUUAAUCGGAAUUACUGGGCGUAAAGCGCGCGUAGGCGGCUAGAUCAGUCGGGUGUGAAAGCCCCGGGCUUAACCUGGGAACUGCAUCCGAUACUGGCUAGCUUGAGUACAGGAGAGGAGAGUGGAAUUCCACAUGUAGCGGUGAAAUGCGUAGAUAUGUGGAGGAACACCAAUGGCGAAGGCAGCUCUCUGGCCUGAUACUGACGCUGAGGUGCGAAAGCGUGGGGAGCAAACAGGAUUAGAUACCCUUGUAGUC
Molecule: ribosomal RNA, 465 nt
Filed under: uncultured bacterium
Lineage: Bacteria
Description: partial 16S ribosomal RNA
Rfam family: Bacterial small subunit ribosomal RNA
Source: RNAcentral